Molecule: long non-coding RNA, 525 nt
Organism: Talpa occidentalis (Iberian mole)
Lineage: Eukaryota; Metazoa; Chordata; Mammalia; Eulipotyphla; Talpidae
Exons: 3
Source: RefSeq, a predicted model, not a curated record
AGGAAGGGUGGAGCUGAGCAGUGGGGAGAAACUAAAAGAUAAGAAGUCUGGAGGCGACACACGGAGCAGAGACAGGUGAAGACGCUGUGCUUGCUUCUCGGCUUUGGACUUGUACCAAGGACUUGGGGACAUGGAAGGAGACACCUGAAAGAUGCGGAGAUAAUUGCAACUGAUUCUGAGGCCAAGACGGCUCUGCCCAGUGGAGCUUCCUGGCACGAGUGGUGGGAAUGUUCCGGCGGCACUGCCCAGAGUUAGCCACCGGCCACUCAGCUAAUGGUACAAAGCUGGCUGGAGCACUGUUCUUGCCUUUGAGGAGCACUGGGCUUAAUGAAGAGCUACGCGUGCCCACAGAACAUGCGCUCUGAGUGGCAUGUGGACUGCCAUCGUGGACUCCACCCUGCUUCACUCCUCUCAGGCGACUCACCGCCUCGUCAGAGCCAGGCCCUGACCUGGUACUGGGGACACUGUGAUGAGUCACAGCCAGCCUCGGCCCUGCAGGAGCUCAACAAGGAGCGAGAGAGAACC